UCUCCAGUACCAAAAAAAUAAAAUAAAAUUGGAACGAUACAGAGAAGAUUAGCACAGCCCCUGCACAAGGAUGACAUGCAAAUUCGUGAAGUGUUCCAUAUUAAA
Small nuclear RNA from Heterocephalus glaber (naked mole-rat), 105 nucleotides. Lineage: Eukaryota; Metazoa; Chordata; Mammalia; Rodentia; Bathyergidae. The record is from Ensembl.